UGUUGCUGCCAGCUUGUGCUCCCCUGCUUCCCCUGUUCUCUCCCUAGCCUGAUUUGACCCCUUGUGGUCCAUUUCCUUUUGCUUUGCUUGGUGUUUUUGUUUAAAUAAAGCCCCCUUUUGGUUUUCCCCAGGCCUGCCUCCUGACACCAAUAAGUGUGUCAGUUGGAUGUUUGAAGAACAUUUUUGCAUUAAAGGUCAAAGGAUGAAAGUCAUUGGCAGCAAACAACCUUCAUUCUCUAAUCUACAGAAAGUCUCCUUUUGCAGAGAGUGGCACACGCUUAAGCCAUAAAAAUACCAUAUUUAAAUCUGUGGGAAUACUGUUUGCAUAUGUGAUACGUUGCCGCCUGACCUUGAGUGACUUUGCCCGUUGAGCUCUGGCUGACAAUUUGCCGUGCCAAGCCAUCACUUUGGGUUCUCUGGCCCGGCUGCCUGCUGAUAAUGACUGCUGUCCAUUUGUCUGCCCUCUGCAUUAUGUAAACAGCCGAAGAAUAUGGAUCCUUUAACAACUGCAUAGUUUAAUAUAACUCUUCCCGUCUGCAGGAAGGAUGGACUGCGUGCUAAAGAUGUAAAAUUUCCUGUCCUUGUAUCGUUGGGUUUAUAAUUAUCAUCAUCUUUUUAUAUGAUGGUGUUGUCAAUAGUGCCAUCAUAUGCAUUAUUUAUGGGACCGAAUUGGGCCGUCAUGUAUUGGCUGCUGUAUUAAAGAUUAAUAAUUUUAUGCAGUAGAAA
This is a long non-coding RNA of Paramormyrops kingsleyae, 726 nucleotides long. RefSeq lists it as uncharacterized. The record is from RefSeq and is a predicted model, not a curated record. NCBI's taxonomy places the organism in Eukaryota, Metazoa, Chordata, Actinopteri, Osteoglossiformes, Mormyridae.